GCUCUACAAGGUUAUUUCUGUCACUCAGAUUGGCAAACACAUCCCCGAACAGGAUAUAACUUGUGCAGAGGGCCAGCAUAAGGACCACAUGUCAUCGAAAUACCAGUGAAAUCCCAUUUUAAAGGCACUGAGAAGCCUUUUGAGUCCAGAAAAUAACCAUUUUGGAUACGUGACUGUCGAGCACAGCCCUGCUCAUUUAUGCAACAAGUGGACAAUAUUUUGAUAACUUACCAUGCUGCACAGAUUUCUGAGACAUCAGGACUCAAGGGCCUAAGACCACUCUCUGUCCCUCAUCCUGUUGUCACGGAGAGGUUCUGCCUCUCUUCCUUGAUGAAG
Molecule: long non-coding RNA, 336 nt
Organism: Gallus gallus (chicken)
Lineage: Eukaryota; Metazoa; Chordata; Aves; Galliformes; Phasianidae
Source: Ensembl